AGCAGUAGGGAAUCUUCCACAAUGGGCGAAAGCCUGAUGGAGCAACGCCGCGUGUGUGAUGAAGGGUUUCGGCUCGUAAAACACUGUUGUAAGAGAAGAAUGACAUUGAGAGUAACUGUUCAAUGUGUGACGGUAUCUUACCAGAAAGGAACGGCUAAAUACGUGCCGG
RNAcentral lists this ribosomal RNA (169 nucleotides) under uncultured bacterium. Its description in RNAcentral is "partial 16S ribosomal RNA". It matches the Rfam family "Bacterial small subunit ribosomal RNA", at positions 350 to 511 of the family's 1533-position model. The record is from RNAcentral.